UUUCCGUAGGUGAACCUGCGGAAGGAUCAUUAUUGGAUUUUGAAACUUCAGGCUGCUGCUGGCUCUCCUCGGAGGGCAUGUGCACGCUUGUUGUCCAUUAUUUCUCCCACUGUGCACAAAUUGUAGACCUUUCAGUAGGCCUAUGUUGUUUUUCACAAUCUCUGAAUGUAAUAGAAUGGUUUUGAAUCUUGAGAAAUACAAUACAACUUUCAGCAACGGAUCUCUUGGCUCUC
Molecule: unclassified non-coding RNA, 233 nt
Filed under: plant metagenome
Description: partial contains small subunit ribosomal RNA, internal transcribed spacer 1, and 5.8S ribosomal RNA
Source: RNAcentral